This 218-nucleotide long non-coding RNA is filed under the name Vitis vinifera (wine grape). Its description in RNAcentral is "long non-coding RNA (VVIN_LNC001960)". The record is from RNAcentral. Lineage: Eukaryota; Viridiplantae; Streptophyta; Magnoliopsida; Vitales; Vitaceae.
UAACAUUUGCCUAACAUUUGCCAUCUUUCCAUAAAAUUCAUCAUCAGAUUCCGGACCCAGAUCACCCUUCUCACUUCUCCAUAAUUCAGGGCAAGGAUAGUCCCAAAUUUUGCACUCUGUUGGGAUAAACUGAACCUGCCUCUUUGGUCUGAGUUCAGGUUUUGCAGGAGAUCUGAAACCUGACAUUCGACGAUCCCCACCCCAGCCAAAAGGUUCAC